This 174-nucleotide non-coding RNA is filed under the name Clostridium puniceum. The record is from RNAcentral. Lineage: Bacteria; Bacillati; Bacillota; Clostridia; Eubacteriales; Clostridiaceae.
GCAAUUUUUUGUAUUUUAUGUUGAUUAAUUAAAAGGGAAUUAGGUGAAAUUCCUGAACUAUCCCGUAGCUGUAUUAGAGGAGUUUAAGUAUAUUGUGUGUCACUUGGAAACAGGGAAGGCGUACUUAAAUGACGAUUCUUAAGUCAGAAGACCUGCCUAUAUUUUGCACUAUAA